AGAGUUUGAUCCUGGCUCAGAUUGAACGCUGGCGGCGUGCGUAACACAUGCAAGUCGAGCGGUAACAGGUGUAGCAAUACAUGCUGACGAGCGGCGAACGGGUGAGUAAUGCUUCGGAAUCUACCUUAUGGUGGGGAAUAACUAGCCGAAAGGUUAGCUAAUACCGCAUACGUCCUACGGGAGAAAGCAGGGGAUCGUAAGACCUUGCGCCAAAAGAUGAGCCGAAGUCGGAUUAGCUAGUUGGUAGGGUAACGGCCUACCAAGGCGACGAUCCGUAGCUGGUCUGAGAGGACGACCAGCCACACUGGGACUGAGACACGGCCCAGACUCCUACGGGAGGCAGCAGUGGGGAAUAUUGGACAAUGGGGGAAACCCUGAUCCAGCGACGCCGCGUGUGUGAAGAAGGCCUGCGGGUUGUAAAGCACU
RNAcentral lists this ribosomal RNA (426 nucleotides) under uncultured bacterium. Its description in RNAcentral is "bacterial SSU rRNA". It matches the Rfam family "Bacterial small subunit ribosomal RNA", at positions 8 to 434 of the family's 1533-position model. The record is from RNAcentral.